Molecule: ribosomal RNA, 251 nt
Filed under: uncultured Streptococcus sp.
Lineage: Bacteria; Bacillati; Bacillota; Bacilli; Lactobacillales; Streptococcaceae
Description: partial 16S ribosomal RNA
Rfam family: Bacterial small subunit ribosomal RNA
Source: RNAcentral
GAGUGGCGAACGGGUGAGUAACACGUGAGUAACCUGCCUGGUAGUGGGGGAUAACUAUUGGAAACGAUAGCUAAUACCGCAUAACAGUAGAUAUCGCAUGAUAGCUGCUUGAAAGGUGCAAUUGCACCACUACCAGAUGGACCUGCGUUGUAUUAGCUAGUUGGUGAGGUAACGGCUCACCAAGGCAACGAUACAUAGCCGACCUGAGAGGGUGAUCGGCCACACUGGGACUGAGACACGGCCCAGACUCC